This 487-nucleotide long non-coding RNA is filed under the name Equus asinus (donkey). Its description in RNAcentral is "lncRNA (ENSEASG00005031431.1)". The record is from RNAcentral. Lineage: Eukaryota; Metazoa; Chordata; Mammalia; Perissodactyla; Equidae.
GGAUUUUUAGCUCGUGCACCAGAGGCCCUGCCCUGGCAUGUCAAGGUUACAGAGAGGAGGCGGCUGGCAGCCACUCAAUCAUGCAGCUGGGCUGGCUCUCAGGUGACGCCAGCAGCCUCCCAACUGGUCCCCGGAUCCUCCUUGCUCCCCACAGGCUGUUCUCCACGCAGCAGCCAGAGGGACCCUUUGGAAGCUUGCAGGUAUUGGCCGAGUUUAGCCCUCGGGCUGUAGUCUGACAACCCCUGGCCUUGAAGGAUUCAGGAGGUACAGAAAUUGGAACCUUUGGUCUUCGACUUGUCAGCCGUUGGCUAGUUGAUGAGGAACGUUUUCCUUCUACCGUCAGCUUCCUUGUCACGAAGACUCACCAGCUCUGACCAGCUGUUGGAGACAGACUCAGGGCUCAGCAGAGAGAGCAGCGGGCCGUCUCGCUCCAGCCCGAAAUCUUAAGAUGACUCUAGACCCUUCCAUACGCACCAGCACAUGCACC